UAUGUACUCCCUCCGUUCAAAAAAGUUUGUCCCUUAAAUGAAUGUAUCUAACACUAACUUGGUGCUAGACAUAUCCAUUUGUGGGACAACCUUUUUUGGACGGAGAGAGUAUAUA
Non-coding RNA from Triticum aestivum (bread wheat), 115 nucleotides. NCBI's taxonomy places the organism in Eukaryota, Viridiplantae, Streptophyta, Magnoliopsida, Poales, Poaceae. The record is from Rfam.